AACUGAUACUACCUGCGGGAACCUGCGGAGGGAUCAUUAAAGCGAGAGUCCAACAGUGCGCUGGAGGACUCUCAAUAGAAACGGGUGUGAACAGCCGCAAGUUAACUUGACCAAAGGUGCCAUCGCGCGCUCCUUUGGUUUUUCGGCUGUUCGCAUGUCUGAAUCCGUGUCUUGUGUACCAACUGUUUCCUCGGCGGGCUCGCUCGCCAAUGGGGACCAACUCAAACGCUUUGUUGUAGU
Molecule: unclassified non-coding RNA, 240 nt
Filed under: soil metagenome
Description: partial contains 5.8S ribosomal RNA, internal transcribed spacer 2, and large subunit ribosomal RNA
Source: RNAcentral